UACGUAGGGGGCAAGCGUUGUCCGGAUUUAUUGGGCGUAAAGAGCGUGUAGGCGGCUUUACAGGUCAGCUGUGAAAACUCGAGGCUCAACCUCGAGACGUCGGUUGAAACCGUAUGGCUAGAGUCCGGAAGAGGAGAGUGGAAUUCCCGGUGUAGCGGUGAAAUGCGCAGAUAUCGGGAAGAACACCUAUGGCGAAGGCAGCUCUCUGGGACGGUACUGACGCUGAGACGCGAAAGCGUGGGGAGCGAACAGG
Molecule: ribosomal RNA, 253 nt
Filed under: uncultured bacterium
Lineage: Bacteria
Description: partial 16S ribosomal RNA
Rfam family: Bacterial small subunit ribosomal RNA
Source: RNAcentral